This 1002-nucleotide ribosomal RNA is filed under the name Takayama acrotrocha. RNAcentral's name for it is "partial large subunit ribosomal RNA". It matches the Rfam family "Eukaryotic large subunit ribosomal RNA", at positions 66 to 967 of the family's 3401-position model. The record is from RNAcentral. Lineage: Eukaryota; Dinophyceae; Gymnodiniales; Kareniaceae.
UAAAUAGGAUUCCCUCAGUAAUGGCGAAUGAACAGGGAUCAGCUCAGCAUGGAAAUUGGGGCCUCUGGCCUUGAAUUGUAGUCUUGAGAUGGCAUCGCCAGCGGAGGCGCAGAUGUAAGCCUCUUGGAAAAGAGCAUCAAUGAGGGUGAGAGUCCCGUUUGUCAUCUGCAGUCCCCCGUGCACGGCUUGCUUUCUAAGAGUCACGUUCCUUGGGAUUGGAGCGCAAAUUGGGUGGUAAAUUUCAUCUAAAGCUAAAUAUUGGUUCGAGACCGAUAGCAAACAAGUACCAUGAGGGAAAGGUGAAAAGGACUUUGAAAAGAGAGUUAAAAGUGCCUGAAAUUGCUGAAAGGGAAGCGAAUGGAACCAGUUUUUCUUGGCGAGAUUGUUGCGUGCUAAUGUGAUGGCUUGUUGCUUCAACGCAAGUGUUGCAGCGGGUUUUGAUCUGGACGUGCGCGGUGCUUCUUGCCUUGGGUGUCAACGUCGGUUCAGACUUGAGGAAAACUCCAGGGACAUGGUAAGUCACUUCUGGGUGACUGAAAGUGCUUGGCAGAACUCAUUUCUGAACUGAAUUCCGCAUGUCUGGUCGCAGUGCUUUCACUUCCCGUGCUUCGUUCGGAGCUCUCUGGGCUCUGCGCUGGGCUGGGACGUGGGGCAUCUCCCUGACAUCAGUACGAUGACAAAAUGGUUUUAUUCGACCCGUCUUGAAACACGGACCAAGGAGUCUAACAUAUGUGCAAGUUCACGGGUGUUAAACCUGCUUGCGCAAUGAAAGUGACUGCUGGGAUAUUUGCACCAGCAACCGACCAAUCAAUUGUGAGAGGUUUGAGUAUGAGCAUAUCUGUUAGGACCCGAAAGAUGGUGAACUAUGCCUGAGAAGGGCGAAGUCAGGGGAAACUCUGAUGGAGGCUCGUAGCGAUACUGACGUGCAAAUCGUUCGUCAUACUUGGGUAUAGGGGCGAAAGACUAUACCCAACCAUCUAGUAGCUGGUUCUCUUCCGAAAA